UGGGGGAUAUUGCACAAUGGGCGAAAGCCUGAUGCAGCGACGCCGCGUGGGGGAUGAAGGCUUUCGUGUUGUAAACCUCUUUCGCUAUCGAACAAGGCCCGCUUAGGGUGGGUUGAGGGUAGGUGGAGAAGAAGCGCCGGCUAACUACGUGCCAGCAGCCGCGGUAAUACGUAGGGCGCGAGCGUUGUCCGGAAUUAUUGGGCGUAAAGGGCUUGUAGGCGGCUUGUUGCGCCUGCUGUGAAAACGCGGGGCUUAACUUCGCGCGUGCAGUGGGUACGGGCAGGCUUGAGUGUGGUAGGGGUGACUGGAAUUCCAGGUGUAGCGGUGGAAUGCGCAGAUAUCUGGAGGAACACCGAUGGCGAAGGCAGGUCACUGGGCCAUUACUGACGCUGAGGAGCGAAAGCAUGGGUAGCGAACAGG
Molecule: ribosomal RNA, 420 nt
Filed under: bacterium
Lineage: Bacteria
Description: partial 16S ribosomal RNA
Rfam family: Bacterial small subunit ribosomal RNA
Source: RNAcentral